CUUAGGAUGAACGCUGGCGGCGUGCCUAAUACAUGCAAGUCGAACGGAGUUACAAGCAAUUGUGACUUAGUGGCGAACGGGUGAGUAUCGCGUUGGUGACCUGCCCCAAAGCGGGGGACAACAGUUCGAAAGAAUUGCUAAUACCCCAUGUGUCCUUCUAUGGUUAGAGGUAGAAGGGUAAAGGAGUAAUCCACUUUGGGAGGGGCCUGCGUCCCAUCAGCUAGUUGGUAAGGUAACGGCUUACCAAGGCGAAGACGGGUAGGGGACCUGAGAGGGUGGCCCCCCACAAUGGAACUGAAACACGGUCCAUACACCUACGGGUGGCAGCAGUAGGGAAUAUUGCACCAUGGGCGAAAGCCUGAUGCAGCAACGCCGCGUGAGCGAUGAAGGCCUUCGGGUCGUAAAGCUCUUUUCAAGGGGAAGAGGAAGGACGGUACCCUUGGAAUAAGUCUCGGCUAACUACGUGCCAGCAGCCGCGGUAAAACGUAGGAGGCGAGCGUUAUCSGGAUUUACUGGGCGUAAAGCGCGUGUAGGCGGCGUAGAAAGUUGGAUGUGAAAGCUCCUGGCUUAACUGGGAGAGGUCGUUCAAAACUUCUAUGCUUGAGUUUGGUAGAGGAAAAUGGAAUUCCGGGAGUAGUGGUGAAAUGCGUAGAUAUCCGGAGGAACACCAGUGGCGAAAGCGAUUUUCUGGACCAAUACUGACGCUCAGACGCGAAAGCUAGGGUAGCAAACGGGAUUAGAGACCCCGGUAGUCCUAGCUGUAAACGAUGUAGACUUGGCGUUGGGUGGGUAAAACU
RNAcentral lists this ribosomal RNA (797 nucleotides) under uncultured bacterium. RNAcentral's name for it is "bacterial SSU rRNA". It matches the Rfam family "Bacterial small subunit ribosomal RNA", at positions 23 to 837 of the family's 1533-position model. The record is from RNAcentral.